This 372-nucleotide ribosomal RNA is filed under the name uncultured organism. RNAcentral describes it as "partial 16S ribosomal RNA". It matches the Rfam family "Bacterial small subunit ribosomal RNA", at positions 527 to 896 of the family's 1533-position model. The record is from RNAcentral.
GUAGGUGGCAAGCGUUGUCCGGAAUUAUUGGGCGUAAAGCGCGCGCAGGCGGUCCUUUAAGUCUGAUGUGAAAGCCCACGGCUCAACCGUGGAGGGUCAUUGGAAACUGGGGGACUUGAGUACAGAAGAGGAAAGCGGAAUUCCAAGUGUAGCGGUGAAAUGCGUAGAGAUUUGGAGGAACACCAGUGGCGAAGGCGGCUUUCUGGUCUGUAACUGACGCUGAGGCGCGAAAGCGUGGGGAGCAAACAGGGAUUAGAUACCCUGGUAGUCCACGCCGGAAACGAUGAGUGCUAAGUGUUAGGGGGUUUCCCGCCCCCUAGUGCUGCAGCUAACGCAUUAAGCACUCCGCCUGGGGAGUACGCCGCAAGGCUG